UACGGAGGGUGCAAACGUUGCUCGGAAUCAUUGGGCGUAAAGCGCACGUAGGCGGUCUUGCAAGUCGGGUGUGAAAUCCCUCGGCUUAACCAAGGAAGUGCACUCGAAACUGCAAGACUUGAGUACUGGAGAGGGUCGCGGAAUUCUCGGUGUAGAGGUGAAAUUCGUAGAUAUCGGGAGGAACACCAGUGGCGAAGGCGGCGACUUGGUCAGAUAAUGACGAUGAGUUGCGAAAGCGUGGGGAGCAAACAGG
This 253-nucleotide ribosomal RNA is filed under the name uncultured bacterium. RNAcentral describes it as "partial 16S ribosomal RNA". It matches the Rfam family "Bacterial small subunit ribosomal RNA", at positions 524 to 776 of the family's 1533-position model. The record is from RNAcentral.